Molecule: ribosomal RNA, 468 nt
Filed under: uncultured bacterium
Lineage: Bacteria
Description: partial 16S ribosomal RNA
Rfam family: Bacterial small subunit ribosomal RNA
Source: RNAcentral
GACGAACGCUGGCGGCGUGCUUAACACAUGCAAGUCGAACGGAAAGGCCCUGCUUUUGUGGGGUGCUCGAGUGGCGAACGGGUGAGUAACACGUGAGUAACCUGCCCUUGACUUUGGGAUAACUUCAGGAAACUUGGGCUAAUACCGGAUAGGAGCUCCUGCUGCAUGGUGGGGGUUGGACAGUUUCGGCGGUUGGGGAUGGACUGGCGGCUGAUCAGCUUGUUGGUGGGGUAGUGUCUUACCAAGGCUUUGACGGGUAGCCGGCCUGAGAGGGUGACCGGACACAUUGGGACUGAGAUGCGGCCCAGACUCCUACGGGAGGGAGGGGUGGAGAGGAUUGCACUACGGGCGGAAGCAUGAUGUAGCAACGCCGCGUGGGGGAUGACGGCAUUCGGGUUGGAUACUGCUUUUGUCUGUGACGAAGCGUGAGUGACGGUAAUGGGUAAAGAAGCACCGGCUAACUACGUG